RNAcentral lists this long non-coding RNA (1714 nucleotides) under Manacus vitellinus (golden-collared manakin). RNAcentral's name for it is "lncRNA (ENSMVIG00005005631.1)". Lineage: Eukaryota; Metazoa; Chordata; Aves; Passeriformes; Pipridae. The record is from RNAcentral.
AGCUGGAAACAUAGGGCGAUGGAACCAUGGAAUUGUAGAAUCAUAGAAUGGUUUGGGUUGGAAGGGACCUUAAAGCUCAUCUCGUUCCAACCCUCUGCCAUGAGCAGGGACACUUUCCACUAGACCAGGUUGCUCCAAGCCCCGUCCAACCUGGCCUUGAACACUUCCAGGGAUGGGGCAGCCACAGCUUCUCUGGGCAACCUGUGCCAGGGUCUCACCACCCUCAAAGGAAAGAAUUUCUCCCUAAUAUCUAAUCCAAGUCUCAGAAAGCAGGAAUGGUUCUGGGGUAUGAACAGGACCUUCUGGGCUUUAUGGUGUGUUGUGAGUAAGGGCUUUUUUUGCUUUUUGAGGGCAAAUCUUGCAGAGUCCAUCUGAGGCCAGACACCAACACUUUGCUCUCCACAGCGAGACUGAGACUGUUUCACACUGUCAGAAGUUUUGUUAACUUAAAUACAUAAUCCUUAUUAAAGGGUUAUGAUGAAAUUGGAUAUAAACUGCUCCAUUAAGUGCAGCAAACUUCCUUCUGGGGAUGAAGUGAUUCUCCUUCUCUGUUUUCCUGUGGGACCCAGCCGCCCAGUCAGCUGUGUUACUGUGGAGAAGAGAGUGGCUUGUCUGAUUCACGAUGGCAAGCUCCAUGCCACAACUGAAAGCCCAGGGAAACGAAUCCCAGUUUGUGCCCUGAAGCAGCUGUCCCAUGAUGCUUGGCAGGCUUAAACCCAGACUCGAACUGCACACGGAGGAGACAGACACCGCACACAACGGAGGAUUUCCACGACGAUGGUAAUGCUCGUUUUACAUCUUAUUGCUCCAGAAAGGCUCCGGGAGCCUGUGAUAUGUGAAGGAGCUGGGUCCUGAGGAGUAAAGGAAGACCACAGGGGUAACUCUUAUCUGUCACUAGCACUGCUGAACCUCAAACACGGCAGCAAGGGGAUAUGGGGAAGCUAGUCUAACCCCUCUAGGCUAGAGCCACCUCUGCUUUUCUCCCCAUGGACCAAAGCUGGCCGGGAAAUCCCCGUGACACCUGCAUGAUGCCGGUGGUGUCAGCCUUGCUGCAGGCUGGUGCAGAUAACAUGUUUCCCAAUCCUCCUGAGGCUUGGCUUGUUCCCCCCACCCACCCCACAUCCCUCUUGUAAACAGCAAAGUCAGAAGUAAACAGUUUCAUACAAUCACUCCCCUGGCGUGGGCACCGGCUGGGGCCGCAUGAGCCCAGAGGGCGACAGGGUUCUGCAACAGGGGCCUUGGCUCCCCCCACACUGACCAGGUACCCCCUACCUGGAUGCCCAGCUUCACUGCAGCCACAAAAGACAGAGCCAGCCUGGCCCAGGCUGGCUGCAGGCUUGGUGUUGCUUUCUUAAGCUCAGGUUUUCCCAGCGGCGCAUCCUAAUGCCAAGAACAUCCACAGCAGAGGGUGAAGUUCAGCCUGCAGGAGUUUAGGCAGGUGAGGUCAGAUAGACCCACCUGGCAAGAGAAGCCUAAACAUCCUCUAUCCCACAGCACAUGCAUGUUUGGCUGUUCCCUGUUCCCAGCUUGUUCUAGAGGGAGUGCUGGUCUGGACCAAAGUAACUGGGAGGAGAGAUGUGGGGAACUGUAAACACAAGGCAAGUUCCUGUAUAGUCUGGGGAGUUGAGCACAAACAGCAGCAAAAUCAUCAGGGAGAAAUGCUCUUAAAAGGACAAACUAAUCAGGGAAACAUCCACGUUGGCCAAAGGCUAGC